Amphimedon queenslandica is the source of this 479-nucleotide long non-coding RNA. RefSeq lists it as uncharacterized. The transcript is spliced from 2 exons. The record is from RefSeq and is a predicted model, not a curated record. Lineage: Eukaryota; Metazoa; Porifera; Demospongiae; Haplosclerida; Niphatidae.
CCGGUUCGUACACUUUUCUCGUCACAUUAGAUCAUAGAUACUACAUACACACAUGGAUAAGAAACAGGAAGUCGGUUUCCAAUUAAAGCUGUACAAGAUCAAAGGAUGAUGUCAUAUCCUGUGUGCCAUGCUCUUGGCUAAAAUGGUGGCUCUCUGAAUGCUUGAGUGUAUUUUAUAUUUUUUGAAAGUGGUCAUUUUAACCAGAUUAGAGUCAAUCAGUGUCUUUAUUGAAGAGCUAUAUUACAAAAUGUGUUGGCCUCUUGUGUGGAAUCUUCAAGAUUCCUGAUGAUUAAUUAUCGAUUAUUAGUGAUUAUUAAUAAUUAUUAUUCAUGGAUUGUCAAACUAUAAAUACAACCAUUUUAUUAUUUUUGUCACGAGUGAGUCGAGUGACGACUGUUGUUGAUACUGUUGAGAGAGAGGAAGGUCUUUGACCUAUUUCAUUCACAAAGAUAUUUGGAGUAUCGACUCCCCAACCUGAA